Molecule: ribosomal RNA, 253 nt
Filed under: uncultured bacterium
Lineage: Bacteria
Description: partial 16S ribosomal RNA
Rfam family: Bacterial small subunit ribosomal RNA
Source: RNAcentral
UACGAAGGGGGCUAGCGUUGUUCGGAUUUACUGGGCGUAAAGCGCACGUAGGCGGAUUGUUAAGUCAGAGGUGAAAUCCUGGAGCUCAACUCCAGAACUGCCUUUGAUACUGGCAAUCUCGAGUCCGGAAGAGGUGAGUGGAACUCCUAGUGUAGAGGUGGAAUUCGUAGAUAUUAGGAAGAACACCAGUGGCGAAGGCGGCUCACUGGUCCGGUACUGACGCUGAGGUGCGAAAGCGUGGGGAGCAAACAGG